AAUGGGUCAGCGACUUAUAUUCUGUAGCAAGGUUAACCGAAUAGGGGAGCCGAAGGGAAACCGAGUCUUAACUGGGCGUUAAGUUGCAGGGUAUAGACCCGAAACCCGGUGAUCUAGCCAUGGGCAGGUUGAAGGUUGGGUAACACUAACUGGAGGACCGAACCGACUAAUGUUGAAAAAUUAGCGGAUGACUUGUGGCUGGGGGUGAAAGGCCAAUCAAACCGGGAGAUAGCUGGUUCUCCCCGAAAGCUAUUUAGGUAGCGCCUCGUGAAUUCAUCUCCGGGGGUAGAGCACUGUUUCGGCAAGGGGGUCAUCCCGACUUACCAACCCGAUGCAAACUGCGAAUACCGGAGAAUGUUAUCACGGGAGACACACGGCGGGUGCUAACGUCCGUCGUGAAGAGGGAAACAACCCAGACCGCCAGCUAAGGUCCCAAAGUCAUGGUUAAGUGGGAAACGAUGUGGGAAGGCCCAGACAGCCAGGAUGUUGGCUUAGAAGCAGCCAUCAUUUAAAGAAAGCGUAAUAGCUCACUGGUCGAGUCGGCCUGCGCGGAAGAUGUAACGGGGCUAAACCAUGCACCGAAGCUGCGGCAGCGACACUAUGUGUUGUUGGGUAGGGGAGCGUUCUGUAAGCCUGUGAAGGUGUACUGUGAGGUAUGCUGGAGGUAUCAGAAGUGCGAAUGCUGACAUAAGUAACGAUAAAGCGGGUGAAAAGCCCGCUCGCCGGAAGACCAAGGGUUCCUGUCCAACGUUAAUCGGGGCAGGGUGAGUCGACCCCUAAGGCGAGGCCGAAAGGCGUAGUCGAUGGGAAACAGGUUAAUAUUCCUGUACUUGGUGUUACUGCGAAGGGGGGACGGAGAAGGCUAUGUUGGCCGGGCGACGGUUGUCCCGGUUUAAGCGUGUAGGCUGGUUUUCCAGGCAAAUCCGGAAAAUCAAGGCUGAGGCGUGAUGACGAGGCACUACGGUGCUGAAGCAACAAAUGCCCUGCUUCCAGGAAAAGCCUCUAAGCAUCAGGUAACAUCAAAUCGUACCCCAAACCGACACAGGUGGUCAGGUAGAGAAUACCAAGGCGCUUGAGAGAACUCGGGUGAAGGAACUAGGCAAAAUGGUGCCGUAACUUCGGGAGAAGGCACGCUGAUAUGUAGGUGAAGUCCCUCGCGGAUGGAGCUGAAAUCAGUCGAAGAUACCAGCUGGCUGCAACUGUUUAUUAAAAACACAGCACUGUGCAAACACGAAAGUGGACGUAUACGGUGUGACGCCUGCCCGGUGCCGGAAGGUUAAUUGAUGGGGUUAGCGGUAACGCGAAGCUCUUGAUCGAAGCCCCGGUAAACGGCGGCCGUAACUAUAACGGUCCUAAGGUAGCGAAAUUCCUUGUCGGGUAAGUUCCGACCUGCACGAAUGGCGUAAUGAUGGCCAGGCUGUCUCCACCCGAGACUCAGUGAAAUUGAACUCGCUGUGAAGAUGCAGUGUACCCGCGGCAAGACGGAAAGACCCCGUGAACCUUUACUAUAGCUUGACACUGAACAUUGAGCCUUGAUGUGUAGGAUAGGUGGGAGGCUUUGAAGUGUGGACGCCAGUCUGCAUGGAGCCGACCUUGAAAUACCACCCUUUAAUGUUUGAUGUUCUAACGUUGGCCCCUGAUC
This 1642-nucleotide ribosomal RNA is filed under the name Escherichia coli. RNAcentral describes it as "partial 23S ribosomal RNA". It matches the Rfam family "Bacterial large subunit ribosomal RNA", at positions 614 to 2240 of the family's 2925-position model. Lineage: Bacteria; Pseudomonadati; Pseudomonadota; Gammaproteobacteria; Enterobacterales; Enterobacteriaceae. The record is from RNAcentral.